This is a long non-coding RNA of Drosophila mojavensis, 1035 nucleotides long. RefSeq lists it as uncharacterized. The record is from RefSeq and is a predicted model, not a curated record. Lineage: Eukaryota; Metazoa; Arthropoda; Insecta; Diptera; Drosophilidae. The transcript has 2 exons.
GAUAGUGUCUUUUAACAGUGCUAUGUACCCUUACAUGUGCGUGUGUGUAUGCAUGAGACAUGAACAUUGGCGUGUGCAUACCACAACUUAGAAUUGUGAGCAUGAUUUUGGGUUCGAAUUGCAGAAUCACAUUUAGAUAUAUUUAAGCUCUAUGGCUCGAGCUUUUACUUCUCCACAUUGCCUAUUUCUUUCAUUCAUCAUUAUUUUAUAAAACUGGGAACAACUUAUAUACACCAAAUUAUAUUGAACAUAAGGCAAAACCCCCCUCGCAAUUUGCAUUGUGCCCACGAAUCGCAUACAGGAUUUGAGCUAUUUUUAAUAUUUCCCAGUAAAAGCACGAGUGUAAAAAAGUGUACUACCUUAUCUACGCUGCUUUUCGCAACAAAAUUCUUCACUUGGCUCGACAAAAACUUCUUGAAGUUAGCAUUUUGAGUAAUUAUUAAUAACAUAUUGAUAGAUGAAUGUUAUGUACAUACAUACUAUAUGUAUGUAUGUUGGGAAAAAUAGAAAGUGUGGGGAAGUAUAACUGAAUAGAAGAACAAUGAAAUAUGAGGAUGUAUUCAUAUGUAUGGAUGUACUUGAAAUUUACCUGAAUAGAAUUUAAUGAUGUAUGCUAAAUAGGAAGACAGGAAAAAUGUAAUUUACGUGUCAUUUACCUACAUAUGUGAUUGUGGGAGUGUAAAUUUGUAAUUUUGAUUGGUGGGAGGGGGGGGGGGGUGGGGAUAAAUCGUCAUUGCCAUUGUCCUCAUCAUAAUUUAUUUGUUUUAUUUAUUGCAUUUCGCUUAUUUAUGUAUACAUAUAUGUAUAAGGUAAUUUACUUUUAACUUUAAAUGGAUUUACGUAAAUGUACGUAAUACAUUUUUAAUAUUUGUUGUUUCUCAUUUCAAUAUAAUUUUGUUCAUGAUUUGUUUACAUUUUUUGUUUUUGUUUUUAUUUUUUAUUUAUUUAUUUCUCCUUUUUUGGUGAUAUUUUAGACUAAAUUGACUAGCAAAGUUCUUCUGAGUAUUCGCAGCUGUGUUUGUGUGUUGCAAUAAC